AAUAUUGGUCAAUGGGCGCAAGCCUGAACCAGCCAUCCCGCGUGAAGGAAGAAUGCGCUACGCGUUGUAAACUUCUUUUCCAGGGGGAGAAUUUUCCUGUCGAGACAGGGAUUGACGGUGCCCUGGGAAUAAGCAUCGGCUAACCCCGUGCCAGCAGCCGCGGUAAUACGGAGGAUGCGAUCGUUAUCCGGAUUUAUUGGGUUUAAAGGGUGCGUAGGCGGAUUGAUAAGUCAGUGGUGAAAUUCUGCAGCUUAACUGUAGACUUGCCGUUGAUACUGUUAGUCUUGAGUGUGGUCAAGGCAGGCGGAAUGUGUAAUGUAGCGGUGAAAUGCUUAGAUAUUACACAGAACACCGAUUGCGAAUGCAGCUUGCUGGGUCAUUACUGACGCCGAUGCACGAAAGCGUGGGGAUCAAACAG
RNAcentral lists this ribosomal RNA (418 nucleotides) under uncultured bacterium. RNAcentral describes it as "bacterial SSU rRNA". It matches the Rfam family "Bacterial small subunit ribosomal RNA", at positions 360 to 775 of the family's 1533-position model. The record is from RNAcentral.